GUCAACUUGAGAGUUUGAUCCUGGCUCAGAACGAACGCUGGCGGCAGGCCUAACACAUGCAAGUCGAACGAACCGUGCCCUUCGGGGCACUAUGUUAGUGGCGCACGGGUGAGUAACACGUGGGAACGUACCCUUUAGUGCGGAAUAACCAAGGGAAACUUUGGCUAAUACCGCAUACGCCCUUCGGGGGAAAGAUUUAUCGCUAAAGGAUCGGCCCGCGCCUGAUUAGGUAGUUGGUGGGGUAAAAGCCUACCAAGCCGACGAUCAGUAGCUGGUCUGAGAGGACGAUCAGCCACACUGGGACUGAGACACGGCCCAGACUCCUACGGGAGGCAGCAGUGGGGAA
This 346-nucleotide ribosomal RNA is filed under the name Fidelibacterota bacterium. Its description in RNAcentral is "bacterial SSU rRNA". It matches the Rfam family "Bacterial small subunit ribosomal RNA", at positions 1 to 361 of the family's 1533-position model. Lineage: Bacteria; Pseudomonadati; Fidelibacterota. The record is from RNAcentral.